UGUAUUAUAUAUGGUUUGUGACAUAACCUAACGAUCAUUUACGUCAUUUGGAUUGUUGUAUUAGAGUAAUAAGAAUAAGUAUAUAAAGAGUGCUGCUGCUUGCGGUCAAUAAUAAGAGGAGCUUGUGAAAUUAAUAAUUUUUUUCGAAAAAUAGUUAUCGAAGUCAAGAUAAUGACUUUUCUAUAUAACUUUUUUAAAAGAUCUUCUACAUUCACAUUGGGCAUUCUAGCAGCCACCUUUUUCUUCGAACGAGGAUUUGAUAUGAUUGGGGAUAAAAUAUUCGACAGGCUGAAUGAGGGGAAACUGUGGAAACAUAUUAAACAUCAAUAUGAAGAAAAGUAAUCAAAAGUGUUAAUUAUGUUAUGUUAGAUGUGUAUGUUUGUGUAUAUCAUAUAGAUAUGCUAUUGUAUAAAUAAAGAACAAUUCGAAUAAAAAUAUGAUAUAAAUUUAUAUUGUUUAUAGAAACGAAAUUUCCUCUAUCACGGUAGUGUAAGUUUGUAUGUUAAGAAAUGUGAACGUAACGAAAACGAAAGAUCUGUACCCAAAACCUUGCGCGUCGAUGAGAGACAGGGGAGAGGGGAAUACCGAUUACCCCACUCUUUACGAAACAAAUCAUCACUGACCGUCAAUAAAAUAAGACUGGUGUGUUUCAAUUUUCGUCACACUCUCAGUUGUAGGCUGUAGCAAAGCAUCAGUAAAGUAAGUGUACAAUAUUUUUUAUUUAUCUUUACAGUAACUUACUAUCUAUAUUCGUCUACGUGUAUUUGUAUGGAAAAAACUUCCUUAAACAUUGUCGUUGACUUUAGUACGUUAUUCUCUUAGUUAAUUUUUGACAUUUAACGCGAAAUAAAAUAAUAAAUUUCCUUGUUUUCAUUCUACGUUUAUUCCACAAUUUCCCUUUUUCUCCCGUUCUCUUUAACUUAAAAGUUUCCAACAUGCGUGAUGGUCGCGUAUUAUGUUUUUAAAUAUAAUAUUUAAAUAUCAUUUGUGUUUAUGUUUUUUAUUUACUGUCAAAAUAAAAAUCACAUAUAUUAUUAAUAUUUUCAUAUAACUUUUAAUUAUAUAACAUAACACAAACUAAUUUAAACGUAAACAGUCGGUACUACUUACAGUGGUUCGAUAAAACGACCGGAAAAUAAAGUCAUGUUUAAAACGGAAUCAAUAAUCAUAAAAAGAAAUGGUCUGUCCAUUUUAACGUCGUUACUCCAUGAUGACAGAAGCUUAUAUCCGAUUUCUGUAACAGUAUUCUAUCACUAUAUUUUUGUAACUAUUUUAUAGACGAAUCAAAUUAAAAAAGAAA
Molecule: unclassified non-coding RNA, 1300 nt
Filed under: Bombus terrestris (buff-tailed bumblebee)
Lineage: Eukaryota; Metazoa; Arthropoda; Insecta; Hymenoptera; Apidae
Description: misc RNA ENSBTSG00005032180.1
Source: RNAcentral